Molecule: non-coding RNA, 610 nt
Organism: Heterocephalus glaber (naked mole-rat)
Lineage: Eukaryota; Metazoa; Chordata; Mammalia; Rodentia; Bathyergidae
Source: RefSeq, a predicted model, not a curated record
GCGAGCGGCUGCACGGCCGGGUCAGGGUGGGGACCGCGCCGUCCCCCGCCCCGUGACCCGCAGCCCCCGCUGGGCCCGGGGUUGGUCUCCCCCGCCGGUUUAACGAGCACUUGGAGGCUGCAGAUUUGUGACAGGGGCAGAGGCGAGGUUUCCACUCCUGUGGUAACGUCAGGGUUAACUUGAGAGGGCUGGAUUCCCCCAGCCACCCUUACGCUUGUCUGUUCUCUGCGAUCGCACGUUCCGGGAGGUCUGGGAGAAGUCAGCAAACUCAACCCAGCCCCAGGGACCCACCUGUGACCAGCUCGCCCAGGAAUGACUGCGCCCCUUAAACACCAAGAAGGAAAUGAACUCCAUUCUAAUUAGACCUUCGGAAAAUGGCAGGAAGGAGCCAGAAGCCGGGUUCCAGGGGACUUGAAGGGGAAGCUGGCACAUGGAGGAGUUGGGCACUCUGCUGCGAUGCCCAGCAGCCCUGCAGUGUCCUGACCCCAGCUGCCCUUGUCAUCCUGUCUUCUCCAGCUUAGAGACUGCCCUAUUGUCCUAAGCAGCUCUGCCCUCCCCUCAGGUGGCAGGGACCGCAGCGGCCUCCAUUAAACUUGUGAGCAUUUACUGA